AACGAACGCUGGCGGCAUGCCUAACACAUGCAAGUCGAACGAAACCUCCGGGCCUUUUGGCGCACGGGUGCGUAACGCGGGGGAAGCUGCACGUAGGUUCGGAAUACCUCCCCGUAAGGGGUCUUAAUACCGGAGAAGCUCUUCGGACCUACGAUGUGUGGCCUUUGGAUGGGCACGCGUUGGAUUAGCUGGUUGGUAGGGUAAUAGCCUACCAAGGCGAGGAUCCAUAGCUGGUCGGUGAGGAUGAUUAGCUGCACUGGAGAUGAGACACGGCCCAGUAUCCUACGGAAGGGAGCAGUGGAGAGUACUAGACGAUGGGCGAAAGUGUAGUACAGCCGUGCCGGGUGAGUGGUGAAGGGGGUAGGAUAGUAAAGCUCUUUUAGCCGGGGCGAUAGUGACAGUACCGGGAGAAUAAGCUCCGGCUAACUCCGUG
RNAcentral lists this ribosomal RNA (433 nucleotides) under uncultured bacterium. Its description in RNAcentral is "partial 16S ribosomal RNA". It matches the Rfam family "Bacterial small subunit ribosomal RNA", at positions 29 to 507 of the family's 1533-position model. The record is from RNAcentral.